This 597-nucleotide ribosomal RNA is filed under the name Streptomyces griseoaurantiacus. Its description in RNAcentral is "bacterial SSU rRNA". It matches the Rfam family "Bacterial small subunit ribosomal RNA", at positions 230 to 837 of the family's 1533-position model. The record is from RNAcentral. Lineage: Bacteria; Bacillati; Actinomycetota; Actinomycetes; Kitasatosporales; Streptomycetaceae.
UCGCGGCCCCCAAAGCUUGUUGGUGAGGUAGUGGCUCACCAAGGCGACGACGGGUAGCCGGCCUGAGAGGGCGACCGGCCACACUGGGACUGAGACACGGCCCAGACUCCUACGGGAGGCAGCAGUGGGGAAUAUUGCACAAUGGGCGAAAGCCUGAUGCAGCGACGCCGCGUGAGGGAUGACGGCCUUCGGGUUGUAAACCUCUUUCAGCAGGGAAGAAGCGAGAGUGACGGUACCUGCAGAAGAAGCGCCGGCUAACUACGUGCCAGCAGCCGCGGUAAUACGUAGGGCGCAAGCGUUGUCCGGAAUUAUUGGGCGUAAAGAGCUCGUAGGCGGCUUGUCACGUCGGUUGUGAAAGCCCGGGGCUUAACCCCGGGUCUGCAGUCGAUACGGGCAGGCUAGAGUUCGGUAGGGGAGAUCGGAAUUCCUGGUGUAGCGGUGAAAUGCGCAGAUAUCAGGAGGAACACCGGUGGCGAAGGCGGAUCUCUGGGCCGAUACUGACGCUGAGGAGCGAAAGCGUGGGGAGCGAACAGGAUUAGAUACCCUGGUAGUCCACGCCGUAAACGGUGGGCACUAGGUGUGGGCAACAUUCCACGU